RNAcentral lists this ribosomal RNA (466 nucleotides) under uncultured bacterium. Its description in RNAcentral is "partial 16S ribosomal RNA". It matches the Rfam family "Bacterial small subunit ribosomal RNA", at positions 28 to 507 of the family's 1533-position model. The record is from RNAcentral.
GAUGAACGCUGGCGGCGUGCUUAACACAUGCAAGUCGAACGAUGAAGCCCAGCUUGCUGGGUGGAUUAGUGGCGAACGGGUGAGUAACACGUGAGUAACCUGCCCUUAACUCUGGGAUAAGCCUGGGAAACUGGGUCUAAUACCGGAUAGGAGCGUCCACCGCAUGGGGGGUGGGGGAAAGAGUUAACGGGUUUGGAUGGACUCGCGGCCAAUCAGCUUGUUGGUGAGGUAAUGGCUCACCAAGGCGACGACGGGUAGCCGGCCUGAGAGGGUGACCGGCCACACUGGGCCUGAGACACGGCCCAGACUCCUACGGGGGGCAGCAGUGGGGAAUAUUGCACAAUGGGCGCAAGCCUGAUGCAGCGACGCCGCGUGCGGGAUGACGGCCUUCGGGUUGUAAACCUCUUUCAGUAGGGACGAAGCGAGAGUGACGGUACCUGCAGAAGAAGCACCGGCUAACUACGUG